Molecule: ribosomal RNA, 460 nt
Filed under: uncultured bacterium
Lineage: Bacteria
Description: partial 16S ribosomal RNA
Rfam family: Bacterial small subunit ribosomal RNA
Source: RNAcentral
CCUACGGGCGGCAGCAGUGAGGAAUAUUGGUCAAUGGACGAGAGUCUGAACCAGCCAAGUAGCGUGAAGGAUGACUGCCCUAUGGGUUGUAAACUUCUUUUAUAUGGGAAUAAAACGUUCCACGUGUGGGAUUUUGUAUGUACCAUAUGAAUAAGGAUCGGCUAACUCCGUGCCAGCAGCCGCGGUAAUACGGAGGAUCCGAGCGUUAUCCGGAUUUAUUGGGUUUAAAGGGAGCGUAGGUGGAUUGUUAAGUCAGUUGUGAAAGUUUGCGGCUCAAACGUAAAAUUGCAGUUGAAACUGGCAGUCUUGAGUACAGUAGAGGUGGGCGGAAUUCGUGGUGUAGCGGUGAAAUGCUUAGAUAUCACGAAGAACUCCGAUUGCGAAGGCAGUUCACUGGACUGCAACUGACACUGAGGCUCGAAAGUGUGGGUAUCAAACAGGAUUAGAUACCCUUGUAGUC